Molecule: ribosomal RNA, 806 nt
Filed under: Limnoria aspera
Lineage: Eukaryota; Metazoa; Arthropoda; Malacostraca; Isopoda; Limnoriidae
Description: partial 28S ribosomal RNA
Rfam family: Eukaryotic large subunit ribosomal RNA
Source: RNAcentral
AAGAACUUUGCGAAUGGAGUUCAAAGACUGUGAAACCAUCACGAGGUUAAAGCGAAUUAGACAAGUGGCUUUGUCAAGCGAAGUGCAGUGUCUUUACGACACGGUGCCUGUUUCACCCGAGCUGCGUGUAUGGUCGCUACGGUAUGACGUUCUUUAGUCUCUAGAGAGAACCUAUCCGGAAAUUAAAGCGCGAUAAUGCGGGGUUAAAACGUCUCACGCGUUCAGCGGCAGCAAUGUCGUUGGACCGUAAGGCUCCUGCAGUAAGCGUUCCGGGGUUAUAUGGGUCUAUGCCGUGGUUAUGCACUGUCGCUGCUGUUGGGUUUUGAGCUUGCACCAGCACUUCCUAUUGGACGAGCGCAGCGGUCGUUUCUGCGGUGUUGUCGGCUCUUGCGAGCUCGGUCGGGAACCGUUGCGNCUAAUCUCUCGUUCUUUUAGGGCGUGAGAUGCUUAAAAGGCGGCAGCGGGGACGACUGGGCGAUGAGAGUCGCGGCGGACGCUUGAAAACGAUGAAUGAGAGGACGUCUGCCGGAGACGCGAAACUUUUACGUUCGCGAAAAAGCUCCGACGGACUUUAAAUAGUGCCUUCGCUGCGUUUGGCAUUAAAAUGCCGGCUACACGUUUAUUCGUCCCGUCUUGAAACACGGACCAAGGAGUCUAACAUGCGUGCGAGUCAAGGGGAACUUAACACCCCACGGCGCAAGGAAAGUGAUGUUUGCAUUACGCGGGCUGAUCCGCUACUAUUUUAAAUGUAGCGGCGCAAGCCCAGGGCUCGCUCUUGGUGGCGAGUACCUGGAGCACGCAUGAUA